GGCUGGCGACACGGGAGUCCGGUGCGCCGGGCUGAGAGGAAGGCUGAAGCCUUCGACCGUCAAACCUGAUCUGGAUCAUGCCAGCGCAGGGAGGACACGCACCCGUGCCA
This 110-nucleotide non-coding RNA is filed under the name Agrococcus pavilionensis RW1. RNAcentral's name for it is "TPP riboswitch aptamer (THI element)". It matches the Rfam family "TPP riboswitch aptamer (THI element)". Rfam says of the family: Vitamin B(1) in its active form thiamin pyrophosphate (TPP) is an essential coenzyme that is synthesised by coupling of pyrimidine and thiazole moieties in bacteria. The previously detected thiamin-regulatory element, thi box was extended, resulting in a new, highly conserved RNA secondary structure, the THI element, which is widely distributed in eubacteria and also occurs in some archaea. RNAcentral also lists the same sequence under 1 other name. Lineage: Bacteria; Bacillati; Actinomycetota; Actinomycetes; Micrococcales; Microbacteriaceae. The record is from Rfam by way of RNAcentral.